UGCCAGCAGCCGCGGUAAUACGGAAGGCCCGAGCGUUAUUCGGAAUCACUGGGCUUAAAGCGUACGCAGGCGGACUUGUAGGUAUCUUGUGAAAUCCCACGGCUCAACCGUGGAACUGCAGGGUAAACCACAAGUCUUGAGACAAGUAGGGGUCAGUGGAACGAUAUGUGGAGCGGUGAAAUGCGUAGAUAUAUAUCGGAACGCCAAUGGCGAAGGCAGCUGACUGGGCUUGUUCUGACGCUCAGGUACGAAAGCGUGGGUAGCGAACGGGAUUAGAUACCCCGGUAGUCCACGCCGUAAACGAUGCACACUAGGUCGCGGUACCUCUCAUGGUUUCGCGGCCGAAGGUAAACUGGUAAGUGUGCCGCCUGGGGAGUACGGUCGCAAGAUUAAAACUCAAAGGAAUUGACG
This 411-nucleotide ribosomal RNA is filed under the name uncultured Phaeocystis. RNAcentral describes it as "partial Bacterial small subunit ribosomal RNA". It matches the Rfam family "Bacterial small subunit ribosomal RNA", at positions 506 to 915 of the family's 1533-position model. Lineage: Eukaryota; Haptophyta; Phaeocystales; Phaeocystaceae. The record is from RNAcentral.